UAAUGGUUCGUGGGAAAUGAGUUGAAAGGCAAACUUAUCGAAAUAUGGGCUGCCUCUGUACACUGAUGCAAAACAGAAAUGCAGAGACAGAGUUGGAGGAAACAAAAAGUAGCUUUAAUUGCCAGGCAAAGAGGGGAACACAGCAGGCUAGUUCCUCAAAGAAUGUUCCCCAUGGAGGGGAUAGUGAGGUAUCUUAUAGCGCUUGAGGAACAGAGUGUGAUCUGCUCAUGGACAUUUUCCUGAUUAUCUGAUGGUGAGGUAACUGGGAGUCAGUGUCAUCAACCUUUUGGUUCCAGCUGGUCUAGGGUCUAUGUGCUUGUGGGCAGCAUACUGUUGACUUCUUCUGCCUGGUGGGGACUUCAGCACCUGCAAAGCAGCUCCAAGGAUAUGGCUCAGAAUAUUACCUGUAGUCUUUGAAGAAGAACUGAAGUUUUUCUGUAGAUAAAAAUCAGGUGGAAGACAGGAUUUGGGGCGGGGGUCCACUCUGGGAAGACCUCACAGAGUCCUGCUUGGUUACAAAUUUAGAGUUAAGGCCAUGAGUCUGGAAAGCUAGUGGUGGCCUCAUCUUAAAGCAACAUCCUGAGCUCCACACAUCCAUGAGUGUUGCCAAGUCUCCCAGAAGUACCAGAGUCAUCACAGCAGCAACACAAAGAUGGUUUCUGCAUCAUGGUUCCUGCUGACAAGCCACAGGAGCUUCCUGGACCUGCCAGUUUUCCAAGACAAGUGCUCCAGACUCUUGAUAAUACUGAGCACCUGAGGUGAUUCUGAUAUACAUAUUCUGGCUUCUUUUUCUUUUUUUUUUUUCUUUUCCUUCCCUUCUUCUUCCCUCCCUCCUUUCUUUCCUUCAUUCUUUCCCUUUCUUUCUUCCUUUCUUUCUUUCUUUUCCUUCUUUCUUUUUCUUUCUUUCUUUCUUUCUUUUUUCCAACCAGAAUUGCUCUCUGUGGCUUGCAACCAAGGCCAAAUGAAGAAAGAAUUACACUAUGGUGCAAUUCCAUCAUACAUAAGCAAUAAGAAAUUAGGAAAAUCUUGUGGUCUGUCUGAAUCUGUUUGCUCUUGUAGAAUCUGAAUCUUAUAUCUGUUUGACUUCCUAAACUCUGAGGCUUGUUGUGCAACCAAAAAAGUUACUGUUAAGCAGUGGAAUAAUGAUAAUGAUGAUAACUAAAGAUGGUGAUGAUACUUUAUUAGAGUUUCAUUCAAUAAAUAUACAGAAAAAGAAAUAUACAGAAGUGGAAGGUAGGCUACUACAUACACUUUUAAAAAUUACAUGCAGAUUACAAAUAGAUUUCUUUCUGAGUGUUAGAAUAAAAUAUUUGAAAAUCACCAUACAUUUCAAUGCAUCAAGAUGGUCAUUCCUUAAAGGAGGUAUUGAAUGUUACAUGAAUGACACUGAUUUUUCAUUUAUUUUCUUACAGACAUGGAUUUCUUUAUUUCAAUUUUUUUUUUUUU
Molecule: non-coding RNA, 1446 nt
Organism: Sus scrofa (pig)
Lineage: Eukaryota; Metazoa; Chordata; Mammalia; Artiodactyla; Suidae
Source: RefSeq, a predicted model, not a curated record